This 1729-nucleotide long non-coding RNA is filed under the name Bemisia tabaci. RNAcentral describes it as "lncRNA ENSSSA3NGG010874". The record is from RNAcentral. Lineage: Eukaryota; Metazoa; Arthropoda; Insecta; Hemiptera; Aleyrodidae.
AUUCCUAUUUUCCCCUGCGGGCCGAUUUUUGAAAUGUAUAGACAAAGAGUACAUUAUGCAACGUUGACAGUUUUAACAAUAAAAACCCCCUUAUUCAAGUUCAUCUCUUUUCACAUUUUUUAUCAAAGAUCAGUCUUUUUCUCUUAUCUACUCGAACGCAUUACUUGUUAUUAGCUAUUAGUUGAUUAUCAGUAAUUGCUUUUUCGUUUCACCGAGCUCUGCUCCGUGGACGCUUUUUGAAUUCAUUGAACACUCUGGCCAGGAGCCUCGGCCUGGUUAGAUCUCCCUCUCUUUUCUGGACUCUGGACUUACGAUUUUUUGGAACAUGGAACCCCGGACAACUUUGCCCUCUCAAAUCCCCGAUCUGACGUCAUCGGAACCCGUCAAGUAUAGAGAAACUCGAAAUCCGUAUACCGCAGCUGGAAGAAAACCAACAAAAUGCCGCGAUACAGUAUCAGCGAGGACAACACGGCAAAGAUCACUCUGCUCCGUGGAUGCUUUUUGAAUUCAUUGAACACUCUGGCCAGGAGCCUCGGCCUGGUUAGAUCUCCCUCUCUUUUCUGGACUCUGGACUUACGAUUUUUUGGAACAUGGAACCCCGGACAACUUUGGUGACUUGUCAAAAGACUUUUCUUUCUCUUUCUGAAAUCUUUUUCAUUUUAGAUCAUUUAACAUUUUAAUUUCGAAAUUUGUUUCGUUUAAUAAAUUGUAAAACGCCAGUUUUCUUUGUCAUUAUUAACUUGAAACUAUCCCGAUCGUAAAAAGCAUGAUUGUUUAAAUAUUUUUCAGUUUUCUAAUUCUGCUCUGCUCUCCCACUGCAUUUCAGCAGGUAUAAUUGUCCAAAUACUUGGAUUUUCACUUUAAGGGUGAAUUUCAGAGUAUUUCGUCAAUUAUAUCUCACAACUGCUCCUCCAGUGAUAAUACUUGAUUCUAUGUAAGAGUAUAAGUCGUAAAGUUAUAAAAUUACGCCUUAUAUAGAAUCGGGUUUAUUUCUGAAGGAAGGAUGACCAUCCCAAUAAGCCUUCUGCUUUAUUUCUCCAUUGUAAGUGGUGGUCAUUACAAUAAGGAGCGAUCCAACUGGUUGAAAUGGGUGGUUCUUAUAGACUAAGGGGGUAAAUGAUGGACUACUUAUUGUAGGGUCUCUGACCUACCUCCUUUAUCCAUUGCAGCUACCCGUUUCCAUCAAUAGGAUCCCGGCAUAUCCCUUUUGUCUUCUUUGUCUAUAGCUUUGUCAAUCAAUUUCAACAAUCAGGCCGCUUGUCCAUUCGCUGACACCGCGAAUUAUAAUUAUCGCAGGUAAUUAAAGGCUUGCCCGUGCGCACUCGACGUAGCGCCUUCAACACCGGGUAGAUACUUCAAACGCUACACCGUUACGCGGGUGUUCUGUUGUGCAAAUUGCCUAACUGCGCCUGCUGGAGUGUGCAUCGCACCGCACCGAGACAGGGUGAUCAAGCACAUUCAGCGCGCCUGAAUUAGAGAUUAAAUUUUCAUAUUUACGCGUCCGGUAUAGACUGGAUUGUGGUUAGACUCGACGAUUGACUGUUGAAGUAAGUACAGGGUGAAUUAAAAUAUCAUACUUGUUGGGCCGUAACGUCGAAUCGAUCUCUCUGAAGCGCGGACGUUAAAUACAUGAAAUCGUUGUACCACAGAAUGUCUACUAGAACGGGCUGGCCAAAAAGUUAGUACUUUCGCAGAACUUUUUAGUACAUUAUCAGAAGAUUUAGAACCU